RNAcentral lists this ribosomal RNA (398 nucleotides) under uncultured bacterium. RNAcentral describes it as "partial 16S ribosomal RNA". It matches the Rfam family "Bacterial small subunit ribosomal RNA", at positions 523 to 918 of the family's 1533-position model. The record is from RNAcentral.
AUACGUAGGGUGCGAGCGUUGUCCGGAAUUACUGGGCGGAAAGAGCUCGUAGGUGGUUUGUCGCGUCGUCUGUGAAAUUCCGGGGCUUAACUCCGGGCGUGCAGGCGAUACGGGCAUAACUUGAGUACUGUAGGGGAGACUGGAAUUCCUGGUGUAGCGGUGAAAUGCGCAGAUAUCAGGAGGAACACCGGUGGCGAAGGGGGGUCGCUGGGCAGUAACUGACGCUGAGGAGCGAAAGCAUGGGUAGCGAACAGGAUUAGAUACCCUGGUAGUCCAUGCCGUAAACGGUGGGCGCUAGGUGUAGGGGUCUUCCACGACUUCUGUGCCGUAGCUAACGCAUUAAGCGCCCCGCCUGGGGAGUACGGCCGCAAGGCUAAAACUCAAAGGAAUUGACGGGG